AUCUCCCAAUUCUCUAUCCGAAUCCCAAUUUUUGUGUCCAGAAACCUCUCCCAAAAUCUUAAAAUAAGACAAUAUUUAGAGGGUCUCAAACUCUCUUCUCCUUCCUCCUCAAAAAUCCGAAAAUCAUCCACUACCAAGUAGGUGUGUGGUUGAAUACAAGGUAGGGUGUGGCUGCUAAGGUUUGUAUAGGUUAGGGCUUUGGGAAAAUAAUUUUUAUGGGGUGUGAGAAGGAAUAAUAGUCAUUA
Molecule: long non-coding RNA, 245 nt
Filed under: Nicotiana benthamiana
Lineage: Eukaryota; Viridiplantae; Streptophyta; Magnoliopsida; Solanales; Solanaceae
Description: long non-coding RNA (NBEN_LNC001164)
Source: RNAcentral